This 391-nucleotide ribosomal RNA is filed under the name Theileria annulata. RNAcentral describes it as "SSU rRNA". It matches the Rfam family "Eukaryotic small subunit ribosomal RNA", at positions 496 to 924 of the family's 1831-position model. Lineage: Eukaryota; Apicomplexa; Aconoidasida; Piroplasmida; Theileriidae. The record is from RNAcentral.
GGCUAGUCUUGUAUUGGAAUGAUGGGAAUUUAAACCUCUUCCAGAGUAUCAAUUGGAGGGCAAGUCUGGUGCCAGCAGCCGCGGUAAUUCCAGCUCCAAUAGCGUAUAUUAAAAUUGUUGCAGUUAAAAAGCUCGUAGUUGAAUUUCUGCUGCAUUGCUUGUGUCCCUCUGGGGUCUGUGCAUGUGGCUUUUUUCGGACGGAGUUUCUUUGUCUGAAUGUUUACUUUGAGAAAAUUAGAGUGCUCAAAGCAGGCUUUCGCCUUGAAUAGUUUAGCAUGGAAUAAUAAAGUAGGACUUUGGUUCUAUUUUGUUGGUUUUAGGUACCAAAGUAAUGGUUAAUAGGAACAGUUGGGGGCAUUCGUAUUUAACUGUCAUAGGUGAAAUUCUUAGA